GAAUAAAUUAGAGUGCUUUAAGCAGAUUGUAUUUUUUUUACAAAAAUCAUUUAAAAAUGUUUGAAUAAUUUAGCAUAGAAUAAAAUAAUAAGAUUUGAAAGAUAAGAUUUGGUAAUUAUGUAGCAAAUAAUGAUAAAUAGGAAUAGUUGGGGGUAUUUGUAUUGAAUAGUCAGAGGUGAAAUUCAAGGAUUUGUUCAAGACAAACAUCAGCGAAAGCAUUUACCAAAGAUAUUUCCAUUAAUCAAGAACGAAAGUUAGGGGAUCGAAGAUGAUCAGAUACCGUCGUAGUCCUAACCAUAAACAAUACCAACCAAAGAUAAGAGGUUGUAAAAAUAACACUGUUAAAUUUUUUUUUAAGAGUGUUAAACCAACUCCUUUUUGAAUUUUAGAGGGAAACCAUUGAGUAUUUGGGUUCUGGGGG
Molecule: ribosomal RNA, 421 nt
Filed under: uncultured eukaryote
Lineage: Eukaryota
Description: partial 18S ribosomal RNA
Rfam family: Eukaryotic small subunit ribosomal RNA
Source: RNAcentral